GACGAACGCUGGCGGCGUGCCUAAUACAUGCAAGUAGAACGCUGAAGAGAGGAGCUUGCUCUUCUUGGAUGAGUUGCGAACGGGUGAGUAACGCGUAGGUAACCUGCCUUGUAGCGGGGGAUAACUAUUGGAAACGAUAGCUAAUACCGCAUAACAAUGAGUGACACAUGUCAUUUAUUUGAAAGGGGCAAUUGCUCCACUACAAGAUGGACCUGCGUUGUAUUAGCUAGUAGGUGAGGUAACGGCUCACCUAGGCGACGAUACAUAGCCGACCUGAGAGGGUGAUCGGCCACACUGGGACUGAGACACGGCCCAGACUCCUACGGGAGGCAGCAGUAGGGAAUCUUCGGCAAUGGGGGCAACCCUGACCGAGCAACGCCGCGUGAGUGAAGAAGGUUUUCGGAUCGUAAAACUCUGUUGUAAGUCAAGAACGAGUGUGAGAGUGGAAAGUUCACACUGUGACGGUAGCUUACCAGAAAGGGACGGCUAACUACGUGCCAGCAGCCGCGGUAAUACGUAGGUCCCGAGCGUUGUCCGGAUUUAUUGGGCGUAAAGCGAGCGCAGGCGGUUUGAUAAGUCUGAAGUUAAAGGCUGUGGCUCAACCAUAGUUCGCUUUGGAAACUGUCAAACUUGAGUGCAGAAGGGGAGAGUGGAAUUCCAUGUGUAGCGGUGAAAUGCGUAGAUAUAUGGAGGAACACCGGUGGCGAAAGCGGCUCUCUGGUCUGUAACUGACGCUGAGGCUCGAAAGCGUGGGGAGCGAACAGG
RNAcentral lists this ribosomal RNA (765 nucleotides) under uncultured Streptococcus sp. RNAcentral's name for it is "bacterial SSU rRNA". It matches the Rfam family "Bacterial small subunit ribosomal RNA", at positions 28 to 776 of the family's 1533-position model. Lineage: Bacteria; Bacillati; Bacillota; Bacilli; Lactobacillales; Streptococcaceae. The record is from RNAcentral.